GAAUCUUUUUUGAAAGCCUUGGGCAACAAUGACCCCAUUUUUACAAGAGAUUUAGGGAUGAUGGAGACCCAGAUAACACAGUGAUGUGUGCUACAGAAAUGCAUGAAUACCUACUAAUUAAGAAAACUUUAUAACAGCUUCUGAACUGGGAGCCAAUAGGGAGUCAAAGGGUUGGUGGUUUCACUGAACCUCCAUGGCUGCCACUACAAAUCCCACAAGAACACGUUCUCUUGCAACCCUCUGGCACUGCCAUUGCGAAGAGCAAACGAGCUCAGCAAUUUAGAUACUGUAUUCAACUUAAGGUCAUUUCCAAGGUCUUAGGAAGUGACCUGAAAAUUUGCCCUUUUAUUUUAUCCUAGUCAAUUCAAUCAUCCCUGAAGAGGAUUCUGGGUCUGUAAAAAAGUGCUUUCAAGUUGUGAUUUCUAGAAGUUCUCCAAGACUAAAUUAUUUACAUGUGUGCUCUCAGUGAGUCUAGAUAUAUUAGAUCCUCUGCAUGGGAAAUACAUUGACACGAGCUGUUUGCAUCUUGGUUCUCCUAGUACAGCAUUUCAAAUAAGCUCCAUGUAAGAGAAUCCUUGAGUCACCACAAAGGACUAGUCUCUUAAGGCAGAUAAAUGAACUCCUCACUCAGAAACUGGACUUUGUACUAGGCCACCUUCACAACACUAAAGAAAAACAAAUGGAAAAAUGUGGCUGUGAAAUACGACACUAGACUACUACACUCAUUUCUAGUUUGUGAUGUAGGAAUGUGGAUUACGGACAAUUAGGAAUGUUCUCACGGGUGACUGGAUCAGGGACAUUGGGUUCAUAACCAAUUGACUGAUCUUUGGCCCAUCUCCUGUGAAUCCCAAUAAAAGGUCCCAAUUGUGAUGGUGAUUUUUACAACAAGGAAAGCCUUUAGGGAUGGAUUAUAAAAAACAACAACAUGCAUUUAUUCAGCAAAGCACUUAACAACGUGCUCCAGUCCUGCUGAAUCGCUGCUUGGGAACUGACCUGAUAUUACCAAAUUUCACACAGAACAAUAAAUGGCCAACAAUUUGAGCCCAUUCCCAACCUGACAUAGAGAAGAGUCCUUGACCUAGUGGAGAAAGAACUCUAUACCCUAUUAACCCUCACAGUCCCACCCCUCCCCUCCUAUUCCCCUAGAUUAUUUGAUCAGGAAAAGCCUAGGAUAUCUUGUGUUUGUAGCUGUGCGCCUGCCUUUAUUUUUUCCCUAACACAGGUUAUGGGGGGAGUUUGUUAAAAAAAAAUGUAAUCUCUCCUCAAGUUAAAGGGGUGUUAGGUGCCUUUGAAAAAUCUCACCCCUUAGCUACAAGAUCUGUGACAGUACGUUGUGCAGGCAACUCUUAAUUAGUCAGUAUGAUAGAACUGAGAUCAAUGAGUACGUUCAUACACUGCCUAAUACGGUCUCACUCUUUCCUUGUGCUCCCCCACCCCCACCCCGACUGUAUCCACCUGUCUGUAAGGCAAGGACUGUCUUUAAGUAUCAAUCUUUGUUCUAUGUCUAUACAGCACAGUACAGUCUGGAUCCAUGAACGAUGCUCCGAAGUGCUACCACAAUACAACACAAUAGCCACAGCAGUUGCUCUCGGUCGCUUCAUUCCCAGAGCUCCCCGCAGGAUCCAGAACAGCGACCACAUGUGAGCCGCAUAUUUAAGCGGAGAUGGUGGGCAGUUGUUACCAAUGUGUCUGUGUUAACCCCUUGGAGAUAGUCAUCACUCAUGUUGCUGGCAAAGGCUGGAUGGAAAAUGCCAGUAUUCAAAGUGUUAAGUAGCUCAGUUGGCGAGCCACUGGUUCCACAGAACUGGAACAUCACCUUUUCAGAGCGUUGCAGGAAGAGGAAGUCUGCCUCUUUGAUCACAAGGAUUUGGUUGCAGUCAAGCUGCGGAAUAGCCUUGUAAACGCCUGAUGGUCUGGAAUACAUUAUAACCAAUGGUAAGCAACCAGUCGGAGGAAAUGUUCAGAUAAGAGAGAGAUGGGUACCAGUACAAGAACCCAGACAGACAAAAACACUAGUCAUUAGAACUUGAAAGCAAAUUUCAAUUCAACCAUAUUUUCUACCCUACUGUAUUUCCUUUAUGUGAAUUUUUGUGCCUUCAAGCUUUACUAGUACAAAUACGUCCAAAAGCCUAAUUGUGAGCUUGACUAGAAUAUUCUUGGAAAAGACAUUUAAAUGUUUGUGUUCACUGGUAAAGUUCGCAAUUUCCAAUCUGUGUUGUGUUGCUUAUAUACCAGAGUCAUCCAAUCAGAGAUCAGAAAGAGCACAGUUUGACUUUUGUAACUAAGCAACAUAGCACAAACUGCAAAUUGUGAAUAUUCACAAUUUGACAAAAUAUUUUAUUUGUUGUCUAUUAAUUUCUUUCGGAAAAAAUGUGAGGAUUUCACUUUUUGUUCAAGGGACAAGUUGCAAAUGAGAUUAAAAAAACAAUCAAAUAAAUUAUGUAUGGACCAAUUAUUUGCUCACCUCUAUAUACAACAUUAUGGCUGGCCUCUGAUAUUAACGGAAACAUGACUUCCCAAGUGCUGUUUAGUUGCAGUAAUAAAACAGCAUGUAGCUGAAGCCAGUAACUGCUAUUACUGUAAACACAGAGUGACUGAUUUAAUGGCACCUUCCGUUCUUGGUGAACUUGUCCUUUGUAGAAGUAGCAAGCACAAAGGAUUGCUUAGAACCAGAACUGUGCAGAAGGGAGCAUGCGUUUAAUACAGAAGGUGGCUUUUGCUGUAAACUUGUACAAAUUGAAACUGAAAAAUAUACUGCAUGUUUAUUUUGUGUUGGUUUUUUCUUAAUUAGAUCAAAGGAUGCUGUUCAUAAAAUGUUCGGCCCAAAACAUAACCUCACUCUGCUAGCCAUAAAUGGGAUUCAUUUAGCAAAGCAACUUAGAGCAAUCACAUUUCCACCCACACACUUUGAAGAGGACACAGUUUAAGUUUGAAAAUGAAUAAUUAACUAACUAUGAGUUAGUAUACCAAUGUUUUCCACUUUCAGGAAAAACAGUGGUCUUUCUCCUGGCUCCAGUUACCAUAGAACGAUCAACGUUUAUAGAAAUCAAGGAGGAGAUGUGCCAUGCGUGUUAAUAAUUGACUCCUGCACUCAAUGAAAAUUCCAAACCUGAGUGUGGCAGAGUAAGAAACAGCAGGUAACAGUGUGUGACUUCACAUCACUGUUUCCCCACCUAAAUAACUGACGCAAAAGGAAAUAGACUAAUUAGAGGCAGACCCAAUCCAAAAAUUUGGAUUCCAACAAGCACAAACACUGCAGCUCAGAUCCUCCUCUGCUUCUAAUUGAACUAGUACCUUCAAGGCUCUAACUGAAAACAAACUCUUUGGAAGUCUCCUUCCACUUUUAUUGACCGAAGAACCCAUUGUGACUGUAGUCUAAUGCUUAAAGGAGGGAUGGGACUGGGCGUUAAGUCUGUUACAGAGCAGGCAAUACAGUUUAGGAGGCUUAUGCGACAUUGGGCGCUUAGACCCAGAUCUACAAAGGGACUUGGGCAACUUUAGCCCAGAUUUGCAAUCCACAAAACUCCCACUCAGCUCCAUCUAAUCUUAAAUUCACUUGGCACCUCAAUUUUCACCAAACCCUCAAUUCCCAUAGGAACCUAGGUUUCUGCCUCUGGAUAUGCCCACCACUGCCUCAGGUAGGCAUCCAGAAUGCCCAUCUCCCAUCUCAUCCCCAGCAUGACCCACAAGCCAGGUGAAGAUAGGUGGAACAGCGCCUAUCUUGCCUGUGGGCCCAGAUCCAGUAGGUGUUCUCGAGCACACCUACCUUUGCACAAAAUGGCCAAGGAGUGGCGGGAAGGAAGAGGCAGUCUCUCUUAUAAACUUUAGUCCACUGGUUAGGGCAGCGGUUUUCAACCUUUUUUCAUUUGCGGACCCCUAAAAAAUUUCGAAUGGAGAUGUGAACCCCAUUGGAAAUCUUAGAUAUAGUCUGCGGAUCCCCAGGGGUAUGCGGAUCACAGGUUGAAAACCACUGGGUUAGGGAACUCACCCAAGCUAUGGAAGACCCUGGUUCAAUUUCCUCAUCUGACUAAAGAGGAGACAAGUGAGUGCUCUGACCACUGGAUUAUGGAGUCAGUCUCACAUUCUGUCUCUAGGCCCAGUAACUAUGGAAGCCAUUCCACUUUAUAUGAAUAAUUCAACAAGAGAGCAUGAGAGAGACCCACAUCGGAAUAGCCCAUAUUCCAGUGGUCAGGUGACAUGAGAUAUAUUUUACAUUCUGUAGGAUUAGGAUAAGUAAUAACGACCCAUUGGUUGCUCAAAUCAACAUCCAACUAUGCUUGAUUUUUAAGAUUGUUGCUCAAAAUCCAAACCCUUACCUGAAUUCUGCAAAUGUCCCCAAUCUUUAUAAUGGGCCAAACUCCUACACCAACCUUUUUGGUGUUUAACUCAUGCUGCAUAUUUGGGACCCAGGUAUCAAUCUCUAAUAUUAAUGCCAUAUUUAAUAAGCUAAAACUGUUGUUAGUACCGUAAAGCCUCCUCUCACCCCAGUUUUUAGAAAGCUGCAGAGUCUUCAAUUCUUGGACUAUUUCUGGGACUGACGAAUAACCUCUCGAUAGCUAUAGCUAUCAUCUAAAUAACAUGGUGAUGUAUCAACUAGAGAGGCCAGCCACGAGGAAACCUAGUGACAGCCUUGCUAGCAUGAACUUUGCACUUUGGCUUGAGCUAUGGUAUCAGAGCGGCGUUAACCCAGAGUCUCUGUUAUUAGUUAUACCAUCGGUGGCAAACCCGAAGAAAAGGGAUUAUGGGAGAGAUGGAAAAUUGAAUUACUUUAACUGACCACCCUCAGAGCCAUCAUGUGGCACCAUUUUCAGUAGCCAUUGAUGGAAAGACCACAUCAUUGCAAUCCCUCUUUGGGGGCUGACCUGAGCACAACCUACCUCCAUAAAUUACAUCAAUGUAGUUACAACAGUUCACAUUUCCCUACUCGAGGCAAUCCCUUUGUAUACAGUGACUAAGUCUUUAACCCAAAAAAAAUGGCUUUCAGGAGUUCAUUCAGAAAACUGGGGAGGUAUGAAAACCUUUCCAUGAAAUGCAGCACUACCUGAAAUUCAAGGAGAUGUUUGCAUUUCCUUAAAAGCCUUUGCACUGUAAAUUUCACAUUUUUUGAUAGGGAGAAAAUAAUUAGCCUGAUUUCCAUUGAAGACAGGCCCAGUUCUGUAUUGUCAGUUUUGAUUUCACCAUCAAUAUGUAAAAAUAUAGGUGAUGUUAACACAGUCAUGUACAUGUACAAUAUUUCAGUCUGGCCUUCACCGCUAUAUUUAAUUGCAUGAAAUAAAAUAAUGCUAUGCAUUAGUACACUUACCGUGUUCACUGUUAAAAAAACAAUUAAUAAUUAGAGUAAAAUUUAAUAAAAACACAAAAAAAGUUAAAUGUAAAAUCCAUAUAGCAGGGGGUUACCAGAGAGUGUGAUGACCCAAUAAAUUAUUAAGUGACCACAAGCCAGACAAUGCAGAGGGAUCCCAAGGAUAACGAUUCACCAGUUUGUAGGCUCCCCCCUCUCCCACGAAUAUACACCGUAUCUGAACUGGAAUAAAGUCAGGGAACGAGCUAUUUAAAACUUGGCCAAACACUGAGCUUUCUCCCCAUAUAUAUAUCAAUAUAUUUAACAGAGAUGGAAUACCAGAUAACGCUGAUCUGGUGACGGUUUGCCAUCAGCUGACUGCUUAGUAGAUCUGGUCAGGAAACCAGAAUUUCCGUUCCAUAGGAAAUCCCAAUAUUUUGAAAAAAAAUUCUGUUCCAAAUUGGAAUAAAGAGCUACGUUUUCCAGCAAAAUGACAAUGCUAGGAAAAAAAUGAUUUGGAAAUAUUUAUCAAAACGAAGCAUUUUUACCUUAUGGUAUUUCAACAUGAAACAAAAUAUUUACGUAACAUUUAAUAAAAUGUGGACGUUAAAAUGAAAUGAUUAUUUUAUAUUAUAAUGUAUAUUAAUACACAUUAAAUGUAUGCUAUAGUAAUUUUAAGUCUAAACAAAAGGAAUCAAUGUUCUCCAAAUUACAUUUUUCCUGUCAAAACUUUUGCUGAAAUUGACAUACUCCUGAAAAAAGUCAGAUUUUGAUGAAAAUGCAUUUUUCAACAGAAAACGACUCCGUCACAUGUUUUUACCAGCUCAACUAAUUAGUUUUGAGAAGCAGUAGAUGCAGUACAAACACCGAGAUGUUUGAUUCACUCACUUAACAAAAGCUAUCUAAACUUUAAGACGCUGUCGGUGCAAUGACAAACUUAAUCAUUCCCCUUAGUGAUGGCUCUGAUGGUUCUUAUUUUUCACAUCGGACUGCUUGUUGCUUAUAGAGCACUGCCUGUUGAUAACAGCGAGGCAGUUGCAAGCUGCACUGUAUACCACCCCAUUAGCCUACAGGAAAGCAUGCUCAUAUCACCAUUAUCUAGUACUAUCACCUGACACAAUUUGUUUGUCUCUUCCACUUUUUGCAUCUUGUCAUUAACCAAGAUCAAGGGGUCUUUGGGGCAGACACUGUCUUGUUACUACAAGAGGCCACUGUGCUAUGUGCUGGAUCACAGCUUCAUGUAAAGAGCUGUGCAGAAUAAGACAUCUCUCCCGUGUAGAGCACUCCUAUAACACACCACUGUUCCUAACUGGUGCCUCGAAGUGCUAUUGCAAUAUUAAUAACAACAACAGUGAUAUGCGCAUGAUAAAUCCAUGGAUAGAUCACAUUAGAUGGAGCCAGCAAUCAAGUAAUAAUAUUCUGGUUUUGUAUGUAUGAUGCUAUGUGUUGGGUCAGUGUCAAAUUAUUAUGAAUUGCUAUGACUGAUAUGAAUGUGGUAAGCAUGAGUUUGGUAUGGCUUGGUAUGUCGGAAUCUGCUAGAGGAUUCUGGGAGCAGGAUUCUCUUAGCAUUAGAUAAAUGGUGUGGAAAAUUACUGGCAGUGCUAAAACAGCACCUGAAUGGUUAAUAAAGGCUCAAUCUGUGUGUGUGUUUCAACAUCGAACUUUGGAAGAUCAGCAAGGGAACCAGCUCACGUAAAAUCAUGCAAUCAGUGGGCUUAGUACAAGCUGACCUGGGUCAAAAUGACCACUCUGGGUGGCAUCACGGGAAGAGCUUAAGUGAAUAAUUGAUAAGAGGGUGAUUGAACUUUGGUCUGUGUCUGCUUUGCAGUCCCUUCCAAAAUAUUAAUUAAAGAAAAUCAGUAAUAAGACACCCACAAGCCAUAUUUCUGGGACAUGUGACUCCGUUAAGCAAAGGCAAAUGCUAAGCAAAGUAAAUUAGUUAAUUGGGGAACUAACUUAACAUCUGAAGACAGAAGUCCUCAGGAUGACACUUGACGGACCAAGUAGCUGAGAGGGGAAAAGAAGAGAAGGCUUCUCCAUCUAGAAUUGGUAGAUAAACCUGCUUUGUUUGCCGAUCAGGAUACUGUGUAAGGCUAACAUAGUU
Molecule: non-coding RNA, 7385 nt
Organism: Chrysemys picta bellii (western painted turtle)
Lineage: Eukaryota; Metazoa; Chordata; Testudines; Emydidae
Source: RefSeq, a predicted model, not a curated record